UGGGGAAUAUUGCACAAUGGGCGAAAGCCUGAUGCAGCGACGCCGCGUGAGUGAAGAAGUAUUUCGGUAUGUAAAGCUCUAUCAGCAGGGAAGAUAAUGACGGUACCUGACUAAGAAGCACCGGCUAAAUACGUGCCAGCAGCCGCGGUAAUACGUAUGGUGCAAGCGUUAUCCGGAUUUACUGGGUGUAAAGGGAGCGUAGGCGGCAAGAUAAGUCUGAAGUGAAAGCCCGGGGCUCAACCGCGGGAUUGCUUUGGAAACUGUAGUGCUAGAGUGUCGGAGGGGUAAGUGGAAUUCCUAGUGUAGCGGUGAAAUGCGUAGAUAUUAGGAGGAACACCAGUGGCGAAGGCGGCUUACUGGACGAUUACUGACGCUGAGGCUCGAAAG
This 387-nucleotide ribosomal RNA is filed under the name uncultured Pseudobutyrivibrio sp. RNAcentral describes it as "bacterial SSU rRNA". It matches the Rfam family "Bacterial small subunit ribosomal RNA", at positions 355 to 759 of the family's 1533-position model. Lineage: Bacteria; Bacillati; Bacillota; Clostridia; Lachnospirales; Lachnospiraceae. The record is from RNAcentral.